GGUUUGUGGCUCAGUGGUAGAGUGCAUGCCUAGCAGAAGUGAGGCACUGGGUUCGAUUCUCAGCACCA
Molecule: transfer RNA, 68 nt
Filed under: Marmota monax (woodchuck)
Lineage: Eukaryota; Metazoa; Chordata; Mammalia; Rodentia; Sciuridae
Description: tRNA.Ala
Source: RNAcentral